Molecule: ribosomal RNA, 425 nt
Filed under: uncultured bacterium
Lineage: Bacteria
Description: partial 16S ribosomal RNA
Rfam family: Bacterial small subunit ribosomal RNA
Source: RNAcentral
GUGGGGAAUAUUGGACAAUGGGCGCAAGCCUGAUCCAGCCAUGCCGCGUGAGUGAUGAAGGCCUUAGGGUUGUAAAGCUCUUUCAGUGGGGACGAUAAUGACGGUACCCACAGAAGAAGCCCCGGCUAACUUCGUGCCAGCAGCCGCGGUAAUACGAAGGGGGCUAGCGUUGUUCGGAUUUACUGGGCGUAAAGCGCACGUAGGCGGAUCGUUAAGUCGGGGGUGAAAUCCUGGAGCUCAACUCCAGAACUGCCUUCGAUACUGGCGAUCUUGAGUCCGGAAGAGGUGAGUGGAACUCCUAGUGUAGAGGUGGAAUUCGUAGAUAUUAGGAAGAACACCAGUGGCGAAGGCGGCUCACUGGUCCGGUACUGACGCUGAGGUGCGAAAGCGUGGGGAGCAAACAGGAUUAGAAACCCGCGUAGUCC